Molecule: ribosomal RNA, 465 nt
Filed under: Vreelandella stevensii
Lineage: Bacteria; Pseudomonadati; Pseudomonadota; Gammaproteobacteria; Oceanospirillales; Halomonadaceae
Description: partial 16S ribosomal RNA
Rfam family: Bacterial small subunit ribosomal RNA
Source: RNAcentral
CCUACGGGUGGCUGCAGUGGGGAAUAUUGGACAAUGGGGGCAACCCUGAUCCAGCCAUGCCGCGUGUGUGAAGAAGGCCCUCGGGUUGUAAAGCACUUUCAGUGAGGAAGAACGCCUGGUGGUUAAUACCCAUCAGGAAAGACAUCACUCACAGAAGAAGCACCGACUAACUCCGUGCCAGCAGCCGCGGUAAUACGGAGGGUGCGAGCGUUAAUCGGAAUUACUGGGCGUAAAGCGCGCGUAGGUGGCUUGAUAAGCCGGUUGUGAAAGCCCCGGGCUCAACCUGGGAACGGCAUCCGGAACUGUCAAGCUAGAGUGCAGGAGAGGAAGGUAGAAUUCCCGGUGUAGCGGUGAAAUGCGUAGAGAUCGGGAGGAAUACCAGUGGCGAAGGCGGCCUUCUGGACUGACACUGACACUGAGGUGCGAAAGCGUGGGUAGCAAACAGGAUUAGAUACCCGAGUAGUC